UGGUGUAGCAGUGAAAUGCGUGGAUAUCAGGAGGAACAUCAAUGGCGAAGGCAACUUACUGGACAUUUACUGACGCUCAGACACGAAGGCUAGGGUAGCGAAAGGGAUUAGAUACCCCUGUAGUCCUAGCAGUAAACGGUGCCCGCUUGGUGUGGGAGGAUUCGACCCCUUCUGUGCCGGAGCUAACGCGUUAAGCGAGCCGCCUGGGAAGUACGGUCGCAAGACUAAAACUCAAAGAAAUUGACGGGGACCCGCACAAGCGGUGGAGUAUGUGGCUUAAUUCGAUGCAACGCGAAGAACCUUACCUAGGCUUGACAUGCUUGUCGUACUCUCCCGAAAAGGAGAGGUCACUUCGGGUGGACAAUGCACAGGUGCUGCAUGGCCGUCGUCAGCUCGUGUCGUGAGAUGUUUGGUUAAGUCCAGCAACGAGCGCAACCCCUGUGAACUGUUGCCAGCGCGUAAAGGCGGGGACUCUGUUCAGACUGCCCAGAUCAACUGGGAGGAAGGUGGGGACGACGUCAGGUCAGUAUGGCCCUUACGCCUAGGGCUGCACACGUACUACAAUGCCCAGCACAAUGAGAACCGAUACCGCAAGGUGGAGGAAAUCUGCAAAACUGGGCCCAGUUCGGAUUGGAGGCUGCAACUCGCCUCCAUGAAGUCGGAAUCGCUAGUAAUGCCGUAUCAGCUACGACGGCGUGAAUACGUUCCCGCCUCUUGCACACACCGCCCG
This 730-nucleotide ribosomal RNA is filed under the name uncultured bacterium. RNAcentral describes it as "SSU rRNA". It matches the Rfam family "Bacterial small subunit ribosomal RNA", at positions 671 to 1396 of the family's 1533-position model. The record is from RNAcentral.